This 2109-nucleotide long non-coding RNA is filed under the name Homo sapiens (human). Its description in RNAcentral is "HSALNT0063740". The record is from RNAcentral. Lineage: Eukaryota; Metazoa; Chordata; Mammalia; Primates; Hominidae.
UUUUACAUCUUCAGCAGCACUUGACAUUGUCAUGUUCUAUUUUUUUUCAUUUUUGAGAUUUUUGAAACAGGGCCUCAUUCUGUUGCGUAGGCUGGAGUACAGCUGUACAAUUAGAGCUCACUGCAGCUUCGAACUCCUGGGCUCAAGUGAUCCUCCUGUCUCACCUCCUGAGUAGCUGAGAUGAUUGCAGGACUCCAGUUAUACAUAUAUCAGGAAGCUUAAUACAAUCCCAGAGGUUUUACUUGAAAAAUAGAAUUUUAUUGAUAAAAAAUAGAAAACUUCAAAUCUAUCACAACUCAUCAACAGUCUACUCCUUUUAUGUAUUGGAAGCUUGUCAACUUCUUUUUGAAAAGUUAAAGUUAAGUUAGAGCUAAGACCAUAAACAUAUGAAGACUGUCUGAGAAGACAUGACUGGAAACUGAAUAGGGCUGGGCGUGGUGGCUCACACCUGUAAUCCCAACAAUUUGGGAGGCCGAGGCGGGGGGAUCACCUGAAGUCAAGAGUUCGAGACCAGCCUGGUCAACAUGGAGAAAUCCUGUUUCCACUAAGAAUACAAGAAUUAGCCAGGCGUGGUGGCAGGUGCCUGUAAUCCCAGCUACUCAGGUGGCUGAGGCAGGAGAAUUGCUUCAACCCGGGAGGCAGAGGUUGCAGUGAUCCAAGAUCAUGCCACUGCACUCCAGCCUGGGAGACAGAGAAAGACUCCAUCUCAGGGGAAAAAAAAGAAAAGAAAAGAAAAAGAAAAGAAAACUGAAUAAUACUCUAUUUUUCUACAAUGAAUCUAGAAGAAAAAGAAAAGACCAAAUAUAGGAUUACUUGAAUGAGGUGAGUUUUAAAUGUUUGUGAGGGAUGAUAGGCAUAAAAUUGGUGAAGAAAAAAAAAGUCAGUGUUUUGCUCAGGGUGUUAUUUUAUACCGUGGAGCUUAGCAGGUGAUAAAUCUCAUGUAAGCUCAGCCUAAGUAUCUCUUUUCCCCACCCCCAAAAUGUACCUUAUCAACUAAGUUGAAAAUAAUUCUUAACAUGCUGUUUGCAGCUGGCCAAGCAUAGUCUCUCAUCAGAUUAAAUCAAAUGGAAAACACAAUGAGCUCUGGAAUAUGAAUAGGGCCCAGAGUGUCUGUUUUUUAAUCAUGCUCAAAAUCCAAUUGAACCAACAUGUACUGAUUAAAGUUUCUUUAGGUACCAAGACUUAAAGAAUUUUUUUUUCACCAAAGUUUGAGUUUAUGGCUUCCUGUUCAUGCAGCCUUAGAAAUACUAGCCUUGAUUUUUUGUGAAAUCACAACCAGCUCCCUUCCCAAACAAUGGCCAAAGUAUCAGUUUUAUUUACUUGUGUUUAUCCUAAUAAACUCUAGCCUUUUUACCUCAGUUCAUGGUGGUAACUUGUACAUCAUUUAAUUACUUCUUUUAAAUUUUAAUUUUAUGAUUUUUAUUUUAUAUGGAUGAGGAGGUAGAAAUAUAAAUAGGAAAUAGUUGGGAGAAUAGUCUAUACGUGCCUCCACUAACAUAAAUAAUAAAAUGAUUUUGCCCUUUCUUAGUUCUUCAGAGAUCUCCCUGGCCAUGUCAAUUAAGUUGGCCACUCCAAAAUAAAACUACACUAUUAACCUUUAGAACUACAUUCUAAGGUAGGACAGAAACAGUUUUUAGACAGACAGAAAUCCUGGGAUGAAGGAGAGUUUCAAGUGACAUUUUUCUUAUAAAUAAAUAAAUAUCAGCUAAUGUCUUUUUCAAUAUGGCUGACUAGAUACCGGGAAUGAUCUUCCCCAAUGAGAAGAAAUAAAUGUGUUAAGUGAAACAUAAAAAGGCAUUGCUGAACUGUUAUGGUAAUAAGGAAUCUGCAGAGACACAUUUGUUGGGAAAGUAGGUAAGUGAAUGAAAAUGAGGAAAGUGAUCUCCAAAAUCUACUUUUUUUCCUGGAAUCUUCUUCCAUUUUCUGAGUUCAACUUCAUUGUCCUGUACUAGAGAUCCACUUCACUUCUCGGGAUCCACUCUGAUGGCUUCAUGGAUAACAGAUCAUAAACUCUAGGACUCAUCAAAGGUGAAGUAUAGUAAAAAGUCCCUACAUUAAAAUGUAGACCUCAUCAUUUAACUAUUUAAUAUAUAACAUAAGGUACUGAAU